CGAGCACCCUUGGUCUCGAACCCUGUAAAAGAAAUCCACAACGUGGUAUGAGCUACACAGCCCAGUGAGAUUCCAAGACACUCUAACAGUUCAAAUAAAUCAAGUAAGUUGGGCAUAUCAUAUGCAUGGUUCAAGGUUACACAAUGGCAUGUUAUCAUGAGGUGAUAAUCAUUGUACGGGUAAUUUGAGACAUUUAUCAUGGUAUGAGACAUUAGCAUGUAUAGUUCACGAGUGAUUGGAGCUUAUUACAGGCAUAGCUCAGGAUUUCAUGUUGGCAUUUUAGCACGAAACAAUCAUCAUGAUACCAGGUAAACAUAUACUGUAGGAUACGGUGUUCCAGUGGAACUCUAUCGGUCAUCUGCACCUUAUGACUUCCGGAUCCCCUCAGUUUGACUGGCCAUCACCUUAUCCCUCCAGUGGUAAUACUCGAGUAUACCGAAACGGUGUCCCAAGGUUCCAACCUACCCGACCGAGCCCAGUCCUGGCUCGAGUAGGUUAGUAACGAUGAGCAGGGCCCAAUUCAGCUUAGAGCUUACAACAUGCACAAGUAAUCAAGUAAUUCGGCAAAAGGUAAAAUUCAUCAUUUGAGUAGGUCGAGUGAGGUAAAGUACACACUCGCCUAACAAUGAUGGACAACUUCAUAUAACAUGCGAUUCAUGAUAAUCAAGUGAUCAAGUAAGUUGGUGAUUACGUAAGCAGAUAAUCAAGUAAGCAAGUAGCCGAAUAGAUUAGAAAACGGUAAGUAAACAUGGUUAACGGUAAACGGUAAACGGUGGUAAUUACGGUUAAUUGGUAGACAUAUGUCAUUUUAAUAGGCCACCAUUGGCCGUUUUCACUUUUUCCACAUAAGAGUCGAGGAGAUUCACUCCAACCGACUUAUGCUGUCAUAGCAUAAUUAAUCAUUUAAACACAUCAUGUAGAUAUGCUCUCCAAGCAUUUCAUAUCUAAUAUUUCAAGUAAUCACAUAAAUAUGCUCUUUAAGCAUUUCAUAUCGAAUAGUUCAAAUAUACAUAUUUCAGGUAUUUCAUGUCGAGUAAUUCAAGUAUACCUUAUUCAGAUAUGCAUGAGUGUGGUAAAUACUUAACAUAUAGCACUUAACACUUAAUAAUCAUGGGUUAUGCAUGUCAUAGACUUAUUCCAAUUACGUAUUCCUAUAUGGAACACUCACCUACAGCAACAAGAGAGUAAUACUCAAACAAAUGUCUAGACGUCCACUUCGAGUUCCUCUUGAAGGUCCCCUUGAGCGCCUGGGCAAAUAACCAUCAACUAUUAUACACUAUCACUUAGAACCCCUACUUAUCAAAGAAGGUUAUACAAUCUAAGGGGAAUUCAUUAAUUGGGCCUUAAUUAUUAAUAAUCGAGGCUCAAGAGUAAAGUUUUAAAGUCCAAAGAGAGAGACUAAUAUUUUCCAUGAAAUCGAGUUCAAAAUGUUCAAUCGGUAUCGAGAAAAGAAGGCAAGUUUCCAAAAUCUCAUUUUCUAAGAAAUUGACAAAUUUCAGCUUUGGGUGUCAAUUUUAGAAAAAUCGUAUCUUGCACUAUGUAGGUCCAAAAUUGGAAAGCUUGAUACCGUUGGAAACUUCUUCAAAAGUGAUAAAAGUUCCUAGAAGAUACUUUUCCAUGAUUCCAAACAGAAGGUAUUCAAAAAUUGACUCAAAGUUGCUGCUUGGGACCAUUUAGACAGUUUCGGGGUUGGUUUUUGACCAUCUUUGAAAAUCCGGCAAAAUUCAUACAACACGAACUAACCUCCAAAAUUUAGAACUCAAUUAGAGCUACAAUCAAAGUUUAAAACAAAACAAACGGUACAAGAAUUGAAGUUUUGAGCGCCAAGAUAUAGUAGCUCAAAGUUGGCUAAAAAUUCCUCCUCGAUCAAGAAUUUCCAGAUUUAAACAUGAACUUUGGGACUUUGUUUGAACAUCUAAACAGACUCGAAAUGGCACCAAAUUUGGUAUGAUUAUACUACCAUAUAAGGGCUAUUCCUCUGUCAAAUUUCAUAGAAAAAUAUGCACGGAAAGUCACUUAACGAAAUCACUCAAGUUUCCAAAUUUUUAAGGCAAAGCUGCCUCGUGUAUGAAAAUUUCCUUUUCUAAACUUUUGACCAAGGGAAGAUACCUAAAACAUGUCUCGUUUAUGAUAAUCAGGUCUAGCAAGAAUUCAAAAUACAUUUGAUAGGUGAUUUACAUCAGGAAUUUCGAAAUAACAAGUCCCAAGUCAUUGUUAGUUACAAAUCUGUCCAAGUGGAAAAUUCUAUCACUGUAGCUGUUUCAAACUUUGGUCACAACUCACUCAAUUCAACUUGUAAUUGGGCGUGCUUGAUGGCGUUGGAAAGCUCUCUCAUAAAGCUGAAUUUUCUCAGAAGAAACCAGUUUCAAAUUCCAUUCACAAACAGCUCGUUUUUGAGCAUGAAGAUACAAGUCCUGUCCUGUCUCCUAGAGAGAAACGAAACAGGACAGUGAUUUUCAAUCGAAUGGUGUUGCUCACUCAAGUGGAACUAGAAUGUGAAUUUGGUACCAAUGGAAAGCUGGGAAUGUCUACUUUCAAAUGCCACCGACGGCACUCAAUUUCGACAUCGGAGUAAAGAGUUAUAGCCGAUACAAGAUGACUGCCUGGGCAAUACGGGAUUCAUUUUCCAGUUUUGCUAACUUUGGAAAUCAACUCAUUUAACCAACCAAAUCAUGUUAUUUUUCAAUGAAAUUUUGUACACACUCACAAUAACAUGUAAACAAUAUAAUCAAGUCAUUAGAACCUCAAAAUUGUGCACAAAAAUGGUCGGACAAGGCAGGGGUAAAACGGUCACUUUUGCUCCAAGCACCUCCUAUGAUUUUCUACCAACAAUACAACAUUAAUCCACUAAUUUAAGCACUAAACCACCAUUAAAUCCAUCAUCAAGCAUGAGAUCAGUCCUCAAGACAAAGGUGGGAGUUCAUAGAGCCCACCCAUUUCAUUUUACACCAUAAACAAGCUACCCAAAUGCAAAUACUACCUUAUACAUGUAAGAUGAUCUUCAUAAAGCAAGAUUUAAGUGUUGGAUUAACACCUACUUGAUUAGAGGAUGAAGGCAGAAAUUUCGGCCCCUUAGAUGCUCAAGAAAACCAUGGAUAGCAGCUCCUUUUCUUAGCUCAAUGGGAUCUCUAAAUGUUUAGUUAAGUGUAGUUCGAAUUUGGAGUGAAUUGGAAGAGGUUUGAUGAAGAUUUGAUGAAGGAAAAAUGAAGAACUUGGUCUUGUUUUUCCUUGGAGUUGCACGGCUGGAAUGAAGAAGGAAAAGAAGAGUUGCACGGCUGUUUGAGGUGAUAAAGUGGAGGGUUUUGAUCUGGUGUGAUGCACCCAUGUGAAACUAAAAUGUGUGGCUCUCAUUGAUUCAAAGGUUAACUCUUUUUCCCGCGCGUUUCGUAUUCGAUUCCUCUCGAAUUUGUUUCACUGGUGCACUAAACCUCUAAUGCACUUAUAUUCAUAUAAAUAUUAUUCACUCUCAAUCGUCCCAAAAUAAGGGUCUAAAGUUCCUAAAUUUAAAUCGCGCGUAUAAAAACGCGUAUCUCCAAUUUAAGCGCGAUAACGCGAAACUUCCGAGAAAUUCUUAUAACGAUAGUACUAAUAACUAUCACUUGAGUAUUUAAACAUUAAAAUGCCUAAUUUAGGUCCAUUGUACAUGUCUCCAAUAUUUCAAACCUAUUGUACUCUCAAUCGAUCAAGAUUUCCAAAGACGUGUUCACUAUUUUCACUAAACGAGCUUCCGAAAAUUAAUUUUUGAAACAAGUCAUUUUAAAAAUAUAAUGAAACUAUAUUUUCAUGUAAUUAGGUCUCAAGAGCUUAGAAAAUAAUAUUCGGAGUAAAAGACCAAAUAAAUAAUUAAAUAAGCUAAAAAUAGGAGAUUAAAUAAGUAAAUUUUGCGAGUCCUCACAACCUCCCCUCCUUAAAAGAAUUUCGUUCUCGAAAUUCAUACCUUCUGUAAUUUCAGACAACUCUGAACCAUGUGGUGUGUUCAUGUUAUGCGUUCUUUCAGAUGCUAUUGGUCGGUUUCUCCUUCCAUUGACUUGUCGAGGGACAGUUCCAUUUCCUUGUGGAGCAGUAGUUUCUCGUGGAUACCUCCUUGGACAGUCAUGAACUUUAUGGUUGGUACUCCCACACCCCAUACACUUUCGUCCCUUUAGCCAACAGUUUUCUUCAAUGUGAUUCGUCCUUCCACAAUAUCCACAAGUCGGACGAGGUGUUGUGACCUGACUGGCUUGCGAGGUUUUCUUUGAUCGUGUCUGUUCUACUGAAGUCCCUCGCGACAUAGUUCCUUUUGGUUCCUUUAUCAUGAGUGGUGCAGGAAAUAACAGUCCUACUCCAUCCACUUCUUUUCUAACUUUGGGUGGUGGUCCAUUUUCUCCUAGUGUACUGUCAGAUGCAUCUCUUUUCCUUGCUUGAAAAGCUCUCAGUUGAGAUUUUGUGCUUUCUACCCUUUGCGCUUUUUCGAGAGCGUCACUAAAUGUUUCAACCUGUGCUGCGGCAAGGGCAUCCUGGAUUUUCAAAUCUAAUCCUUGGAUAAACCGUCUUAUUUUCUUCCGUUCAGUAGCCACCAAUUCUGGGGCAUAUGUAGAUAACUUUGUGAAUCGAGUUUCGUACUCAGCCACACUCGAAGUUCCUUGACGAAGAUUUAUAAAAUCAUCUUCUCUCUUUUCUUGGACAAGUGGAGGAAGAAAUUUCUCAUUAAACUCUCUUACAAAGUUUAUCCAAGUCUUUGGAGUUUGAUCUCUUUCCCACUUAUUUCUUAUAACAUUCCACCAGGCUCGAGCUGCUCCUUCAAGUUGAAAUAUAGCAAAGGUGACUUGUCUUUCUUCUGUGUAAUCCAAGGCAUCGAAUAUAUUUCUUAUAUUCUCUAACCAAUUCUCAGCCACCUCUGGAUCAGGUCCUCCAGCAAACUUGGGCGGGGAAAAUUUCUGAAACCGUUCUAAAGCUCGAUCCUCCCCUAUUUCUUGGUUUCCACGUUGGUUUCCUUGUCCAACACCUUGACCUUGUUGAGCUACUAAGAGCUCUAGGAUAUCCGUCAUGCGAGUUAAAACUUGUCCUAUUUGAUCAUUUCCUCUCCCAGCACUUAGCUCGACAUUUUGGUCAAUAUCAGAUCCAUUAUCUACUCUUUCAUUUCGGGGUUGUCUAGGUUGACGUCCCUUUCGUUGUCCUCUAGUUUCCAUGUUCACAGCUAGUCUAUACACAUAUGUAUAAACCUCACACUUAGCUAAAAUUGAACUAUACUCAUAUACCAGUAGCAACAUUUAAAGAGGAUGAAGUCACUUACACAAAUAACAUUAUCACUAUGCAAGUAAACACAAACUAGAGUUCAUUAAAUCAUAACACAAAUUAUGGUCAAGUAAAGUUCAUGCCAAGUCAAAGUCAAUAACAAAAAUAAACAAAUGAUUAUCACCAGUACAUUCAUCUCCAAGGCGCAAACUCUUAGGUUCUACUCCCAUCGUCUCACUAUGAAAGAUCACAAGUAGGGAUCCACUAGAUUAAUUGAAACUAGAUGAUUCUCGUUCCCUAACAUGCUCGAUUUCAAUCCCAACACAAGGAUCUUUUGGGUUACAAUAUUUUCCAUCUUCCACUCUUAAUUAUUGUACCAUCUUAACCAAACAAUUAUUGGUUUCCUGUAACCAUUCACAUGAAAUAUCGAUUCAUUCUUAUUCCCCAAAAAUGGAGAUAUAAAGUCCUUAUGGUUGCCCUCAACUCUCAAGUACUCGGGUACAAGAAUCCGAAAUAAGGUAAUUCACAACUCGAGCCGGCCGGUCCCAAGAGUAAAUCACCACAUUCGAGAUUCCUACCCAACAUACAUAUCAAAUUCCCUCCAAUCAUCAAGAUAAAGGUUUUACAACCUAUAACAUUCAUGAUUCACAUCUUACAUUUUUAGAAGGGCACUUAAACCUUUACUCAAUCAUAUAGUAAGAACCAUAACACCACUUGGUCCUAUCUUGCUCCUUUGUAGAGACCACGUGAAUUGGCUCUAAAUUUCAUCGCUACAAGCAAUCAUUUAACUUUCAGACCAGUCCCACAGUCCGGCAUCCUAAACAUUUAAGCCUAGGAUACACUACAAAGAUUUGAAGUCUAAGCUCUGAUACCAACUGUGACGCCCCCACUUCUCCCUAAGGCGAACCAAAGGGUAUCCGCGGAACGCCUACCCAGCUCUCGCCAGGACUCACUACAAUCCAUCAUUCAAAAGCUCGAAAUACUUUAAGUAACUUCAAUACAUAAUUAAAGUACUUCAAAUAUCUCACACUUACAAUUAUGUAGCUUUCAAGCUUAAAUACAACCCAACGGAAAAGGGUACAGUAGCCAUCCGUUAUAAUAUAACUUAAAGUUUUCAAAAGAAAACAAUCUAGUACUACUCACGAGCACCCUUGGUCUCGAACCCUGUAAAAGAAAUCCACAACGUGGUAUGAGCUACACAGCCCAGUGAGAUUCCAAGACACUCUAACAGUUCAAAUAAAUCAAGUAAGUUGGGCAUAUCAUAUGCAUGGUUCAAGGUUACACAAUGGCAUGUUAUCAUGAGGUGAUAAUCAUUGUACGGGUAAUUUGAGACAUUUAUCAUGGUAUGAGACAUUAGCAUGUAUAGUUCACGAGUGAUUGGAGCUUAUUACAGGCAUAGCUCAGGAUUUCAUGUUGGCAUUUUAGCACGAAACAAUCAUCAUGAUACCAGGUAAACAUAUACUGUAGGAUACGGUGUUCCAGUGGAACUCUGUCGGUCAUCUGCACCUUAUGACUUCCGAAUCCCCUCAGUUUGACUGGCCAUCACCUUAUCCAUCCAGUGGUAAUACUCGAGUAUACCGAAACGGUGUCCCAAGGUUCCAACCUACCCGACCGAGCCCAGUCCUAGCUCGAGUAGGUUAGUAACGAUGAGCAGGGCCCAAUUCAGCUUAGAGCUUACAACAUGCACAAGUAAUCAAGUAAUUCGGCAAAAGGUAAAAUUCAUCAUUUGAGUAGGUCGAGUGAGGUAAAGUACACACUCGCCUAACAAUGAUGGACAACUUCAUAUAACAUGCGAUUCAUGAUAAUCAAGUGAUCAAGUAAGUUGGUGAUUACGUAAGCAGAUAAUCAAGUAAGCAAGUAGCCGAAUAGAUUAGAAAACGGUAAGUAAACAUGGUUAACGGUAAACGGUUAACGGUGGUAAUUACGGUUAAUUGGUAGACAUAUGUCAUUUUAAUAGGCCACCAUUGGCCGUUUUCACUUUUUCCACAUAAGAGUCGAGGAGAUUCACUCCAACCGACUUAUGCUGUCAUAGCAUAAUUAAUCAUUUAAACACAUCAUGUAGAUAUGCUCUCCAAGCAUUUCAUAUCUAAUAUUUCAAGUAAUCACAUAAAUAUGCUCUUUAAGCAUUUCAUAUCGAAUAGUUCAAAUAUACAUAUUUCAGGUAUUUCAUGUCGAGUAAUUCAAGUAUACCUUAUUCAGAUAUGCAUGAGUGUGGUAAAUACUUAACAUAUAGCACUUAACACUUAAUAAUCAUGGGUUAUGCAUGUCAUAGACUUAUUCCAAUUACGUAUUCCUAUAUGGAACACUCACCUAUAGCAACAAGAGAGUAAUACUCAAACAAAUGUCUAGACGUCCACUUCGAGUUCCUCUUGAAGGUCCCCUUGAGCGCCUGGGCAAAUAACCAU
This 7619-nucleotide long non-coding RNA is filed under the name Coffea arabica (coffee). RNAcentral describes it as "long non-coding RNA (CARA_LNC001815)". Lineage: Eukaryota; Viridiplantae; Streptophyta; Magnoliopsida; Gentianales; Rubiaceae. The record is from RNAcentral.